ACUUGGCAAUGCGAGAAAUCGUGACCAGGGAACUCCAAGUGCGUAGGGUAAGACCUACGCUUUUCUUGACUCUUCAAAGGUCUUGGAAUAAGGGGUGGGUAAGGACGGUGCCAGCCGCCGCGGUAAUACCGGCGCCUCAAGUGGUAGUCGCUUUUAUUGGGCCUAAAACGUCCGUAGCCGGUCUGGUGCAUUCGUGGGUAAAUCAACCCGCUCAACGGGUUGAAUUCUGCGAGCACGGCCAGACUUGGGACCGGGAGAGGUGUGGGGUACUCUCAGGGUAGGGGUAAAAUCCUGUCAUUCUGAGAGGACCACCUGUUGCGAAGGCGCCACACUAGAACGGAUCCGACGGUCAGGGGCGAAACCUAGGGGCACGAACCGGAUUAGAUACCCCUGUAGU
This 397-nucleotide ribosomal RNA is filed under the name uncultured euryarchaeote. Its description in RNAcentral is "bacterial SSU rRNA". It matches the Rfam family "Archaeal small subunit ribosomal RNA", at positions 347 to 745 of the family's 1478-position model. Lineage: Archaea; Methanobacteriati; Methanobacteriota. The record is from RNAcentral.